AUGUAAGUACUAUAUUCAUUUUCAGCGAACACCAGGAGUUAGAAUGACAACGAACACCCAACAGUGAAAGGAAUUGAGCUUGGUCCAGGCACCUCUCAGCGUCUGAUUUGGAGGCUCACUCACACCUUGCCUACGUCGUCACACCAUACCACGACACCUGGGUAGCGGUAGGGAGAACAUGAGGGAUGUGAUUCACACAUCGAGGGGGUCCCUGGCGAAGAUGCUACACGGAUACUGUUUUCAAGAAGGCUUCGAGGAUCUCUGUUCAAAAUCUGCAACUGUCGUAGAUUAAUGAAAUGUUACCGGACAAAUAGCUGUGUAUAGAGUUU
This is a long non-coding RNA of Acanthaster planci (crown-of-thorns starfish), 329 nucleotides long. RefSeq lists it as uncharacterized. NCBI's taxonomy places the organism in Eukaryota, Metazoa, Echinodermata, Asteroidea, Valvatida, Acanthasteridae. The record is from RefSeq and is a predicted model, not a curated record.